GGGUAGUGAGGCUGUGACCCGCAAGACCCGUCUCCUGGAUGUGGUUUACAAUUCGUCAAACAAUGAGCUUGUGAGGACUCAGACCCUUGUCAAGAAUGCCAUUGUGCAAGUUGAUGCUGCCCCCUUCAAGCAGUGGUACCUGACUCAUUAUGGAGUCGAAAUCGGUAGGAAGAAGAAAGCUGCUGCAGCUGCCAAGAAGGAACCUGCUGAGGUAUUAUUCCUGUUUCUGUAUUUCAAUUCUGUAUCCUGAGGUUGGUAAUUACUGUAUAGCUUGUUUAGGAUGUGCUACUUAGUUGAAAUGAUUUGGAUUUCAAUUCUGUAUUCUGAUCAACUCUUAUUUGUAGUUGUAGCACAAGUACCAAUUCUUUUUUAUUCUGAUUGCAUGCAUUAGUAUCCUUUCAUCCUGGACUGUUAGUAGUUCCAACUUUUAUCCAGCCUCCUUGCUCAUUGUAUUUCAUUCAUGAAUAAAUUCCUUAAAUUGGUCUUUGUAGAUACAAACUUUAAUGUUUUGAACAUCUUAUUUUAAUGGUUGCAUUUUGCCAGUAAGGCCCCUAGUUUGUAUUAUGCCCUUUUCCCCUUGGAUUGUAUCCAAUCCCUGACCCAGUCUUAUCCCUGUUCACUGCUUAUGUUUGCUUUGUGUGAUUUUCUUAUGCACAGGGGCAAGAGGCUGAGGUUGCUGCUGCUGCCACAGAGGAAGCAAAGAAGAGCAACAAUGUCCAGAGGAAGCUUGAGAAGCGCCAGCAGGGACGUACACUGGACUCGCACAUUGAGGAGCAGUUCAGUGGUGGAAGGCUGCUGGCCUGCAUUUCGUCUCGCCCUGGACAGUGUGGCAGAGCUGAUGGGUAAGCAUCACAGUUCAUCUGUUCAUCACCCCUUGUAUAUUAAAUUCUGGAAGAACAUAAAGCAGUACUCUACAAUUUCUUGUUAGCUAUGGUGUUAAUACUUGUGUCUUGAAACUACAGGUACAUCCUGGAGGGCAAGGAGCUGGAGUUCUACAUGAGGAAGCUCCAGAAGAAGAAGGGCAAGGGUGCCACAGCUUAGGCUGAAGAGCUGCUGCAUGUUACUCGUUGGAUUUUCUUAGAUGUUGCGUCCAUGUCAUGUUUGCAGACAUACUGAACACCAUUUUCUGUAAACGGUUCGAGUCCUAGGUUGAACUGAGAAUGUUUUGCCUGUUUUGGUUGUGAUCUAAAGCUAUCCAGAUUCUAUUAUGUGUUCUACCUUGCAGUAUUUUCAUCUGUUCAGUGAAGUUUUGAUCUUGAGUCUCCAUGUUGAUUUGCUGCCAGCUUUGCCUUUCAGGCAUGUUAGAUUUGUAUGGUUCCUGCAGUUGCAAAGGACCCAUCCAGUGUGAAAACCCGAUCAUGUAUGCAAAGCAAUUUUGAUCAUGGAAUCUGCACAAUUGUUGGCUAUUUUUCUUUCUGGAGAUAGACGAUGACUAGCCGCUACCCCAGCCUGUGCUAAUUCUCGGUAGUGUAGGCGCUUUGCGCGGCUCUCCAUGCCUUUGUAUUCGGUGGUUUUCAUUUUCUGUUACAGGAUUUCUCGCUGCCUCUGGAGUCUGUCAAAAGUGUUACACCUAUUAAAUCCUGUUGUCAGAGCUUUGGUUGUUCAUGUGUCAAGCCUUGUGUGCCCAUUCUUUUUGAAGGUGGUUGAGAGAAACACUUGAGAAGAACUAUCACUGAAGGAAGAUAGCUAUGGAGGGGAGAUCUAGAGAGGUAGUCUUCUCCAAAUUAUUAGAGAUGGAAGUCUUGAAUCCUUGAUGGAUCUUCUCCAAAGGAGGCCAUUUCCAAUUAAGUUAUCGAUGAGCAAAGCCAAGUAAUUCUAUUAUGCUUUCAUAACACAAAAAAAAAAGA
This 1847-nucleotide long non-coding RNA is filed under the name Triticum aestivum (bread wheat). Its description in RNAcentral is "long non-coding RNA (TAES_LNC020853)". Lineage: Eukaryota; Viridiplantae; Streptophyta; Magnoliopsida; Poales; Poaceae. The record is from RNAcentral.